This 223-nucleotide long non-coding RNA is filed under the name Sinocyclocheilus anshuiensis. RNAcentral's name for it is "lncRNA (ENSSANG00000033240.1)". The record is from RNAcentral. Lineage: Eukaryota; Metazoa; Chordata; Actinopteri; Cypriniformes; Cyprinidae.
AUCCUGUGAUCUUUUAAACCAUGAUUUAUGACGAGAUGUUCUGUCUUUAAACUGGAAAGGCCCGGGGAAUCGGCAUGACAUAAGCGCCUUCCUCUCGAGGCGGAGGUCGGAAGACAGAAGGAGAGGAGGAAGGAGGAAGAGAGAGAGACGGGGCUCGAUAAGCGCCGCUAUCAGAACGCACCCAAACACAGCGUCCGGCUGUUCUCCCUUGUGCAGGCGGAGG